UGGGGAAUCUUGGACAAUGGGCGCAAGCCUGAUCCAGCCAUGCCGCGUGAGUGAUGAAGGCCUUCGGGUUGUAAAACUCUUUUGGCGGGGACGAUAAUGACGGUACCCGCAGAAUAAGCUCCGGCUAACUUCGUGCCAGCAGCCGCGGUAAUACGAAGGGGGCUAGCGUUGUUCGGAAUUACUGGGCGUAAAGCGUGCGCAGGCGGCUUCUCAAGUCAGGGGGGUGAAAGCCCAGAGCUCAACUCUGGAAUUGCCUUUGAGACUGAGUGGCUUGAGUACGAGAGAGGUGAGUGGAAUUCCCAGUGUAGAGGUGAAAUUCGUAGAUAUUGGGAAGAACACCGGUGGCGAAGGCGGCUCACUGGCUCGUAACUGACGCUCAUGCACGACAGCGUGGGGAUCAAACAGGAUUAGAUACCCUGGUAGUCCACGCCGUAAACUAUGAACGCUAGCCGUUGGGUAGCUUGCUAUUCAGUGGCGCAGCUAACGCAUUAAGCGUUCC
RNAcentral lists this ribosomal RNA (499 nucleotides) under uncultured bacterium. RNAcentral describes it as "bacterial SSU rRNA". It matches the Rfam family "Bacterial small subunit ribosomal RNA", at positions 355 to 870 of the family's 1533-position model. The record is from RNAcentral.